RNAcentral lists this ribosomal RNA (115 nucleotides) under uncultured bacterium. RNAcentral's name for it is "partial 16S ribosomal RNA". It matches the Rfam family "Bacterial small subunit ribosomal RNA", at positions 1369 to 1482 of the family's 1533-position model. The record is from RNAcentral.
CGUUCCGGGUCUUGUACACACCGCCCGUCACACCACGAAAGUCAGCAACACCCGAAGCCGGUGGCCUAACCCGCAAGGGAGGGAGCCGUCGAAGGGUGGGGCCGGCGAUUGGGUG